UUUCCCUUCACUUUCCCUUUCCCCCUUUGCUUAGGCCAGAAUGUGAAUGUACUGGUAAACCAGCUCUGACCAUGAGGAGAAAGACACUCUCUAGAGGAUAGCAGGGCAAGGAGCCCUUGGAUGACUUCAUAGAACAGAGCCGCCUGCCCACCCUGGACUGCCGGCACACCUCUGGGGAGUGAGAGAAAAAUCAACUUCUGUCAUGUUGGAGCCACUGUAAUUUUGUUACAGCAGCUUAGCCAGCAUUUUGCCUAAUUGAACUUUCAGAAGAUAAUGAGGAAGUUUUCCCUUGGCGCCUACACAAGCAAGUAGAAUAACAUGUCAAAAUUGUUAUUAUCCAAGAUAGCAAUUUUUUUAUAUAUUUAGAGCUAUAGGACACAGAUGAGGCUGCCAUUGCUUUUAACUGGGGAGUAGCGGGGAGUCAAAGAAAGCCAUAAGGAAACACUGACCUGGGCAGAGCUUGGAAGAACACGGUGCAGUUCACCAGUGGAUCUGUGAAUGUUGG
This 505-nucleotide long non-coding RNA is filed under the name Homo sapiens (human). RNAcentral's name for it is "HSALNT0172887". Lineage: Eukaryota; Metazoa; Chordata; Mammalia; Primates; Hominidae. The record is from RNAcentral.